This 97-nucleotide ribosomal RNA is filed under the name uncultured bacterium. Its description in RNAcentral is "partial 16S ribosomal RNA". It matches the Rfam family "Bacterial small subunit ribosomal RNA", at positions 1388 to 1484 of the family's 1533-position model. The record is from RNAcentral.
CACCGCCCGUCACACCAUGGGAGUUGGUUUCACCCGAAGGCAGUGCGCUAACCGCAAGGAGGCAGCUGACCACGGUGGGAUCAGCGACUUGGGGGUG